Molecule: unclassified non-coding RNA, 205 nt
Filed under: soil metagenome
Description: partial contains 5.8S ribosomal RNA, internal transcribed spacer 2, and large subunit ribosomal RNA
Source: RNAcentral
AACACUGUUAACCUGCGGUACCUGCGGAAGGAUCAUUACCGAGUUUACAACUCCCAAACCCCUGUGAACAUACCAAUUGUUGCCUCGGCGGAUCAGCCCGCUCCCGGUAAAACGGGACGGCCCGCCAGAGGACCCCUAAACUCUGUUUCUAUAUGUAACUUCUGAGUAAAACCAUAAAUAAAUCAAAACUUUUAGCAAUGGAUCU